CCCUUGGUGGCUCAGAUGGUAGAGCAUCUGCUUGCAAUGCAGGAGACCCAGGUUCGAUCCCUGGGUUGGGAA
Molecule: transfer RNA, 72 nt
Filed under: Ovis aries (sheep)
Lineage: Eukaryota; Metazoa; Chordata; Mammalia; Artiodactyla; Bovidae
Rfam family: tRNA
About the family: Transfer RNA (tRNA) molecules are approximately 80 nucleotides in length.
Source: Rfam by way of RNAcentral